Molecule: small RNA, 196 nt
Filed under: Arabidopsis thaliana (thale cress)
Lineage: Eukaryota; Viridiplantae; Streptophyta; Magnoliopsida; Brassicales; Brassicaceae
Description: ATSL271680
Source: RNAcentral
GGUUAGAAGAUACAAAGACAAAGACUCAUACGAACUUCCGCUACACCAUCAAAGCUUUGAGAAGCAAGAAGAAGCUUGGUUAGUGUUUUGAAGUCGAAUAUGACUUGAUAUCAUGUGUAUGAUUGAGUAUAAGAACUUAAAACCGCAACAGAAUCUUUAAAGACUAAGUAGUGUUUCCUUGUUCGAAGAUACAAAG